This 253-nucleotide ribosomal RNA is filed under the name uncultured bacterium. RNAcentral describes it as "partial 16S ribosomal RNA". It matches the Rfam family "Bacterial small subunit ribosomal RNA", at positions 524 to 776 of the family's 1533-position model. The record is from RNAcentral.
UACAGAGGGUGCAAGCGUUGUUCGGAAUUAUUGGGCGUAAAGCGCGUGUAGGCGGCUUGUUAAGUCGGGUGUGAAAGCCCUCAGCUCAACUGAGGAAGUGCGCCCGAAACUGCAGAGCUUGAGUACCGGAGAGGAUGGCGGAAUUCCCCAAGUAGAGGUGAAAUUCGUAGAUAUGGGGAGGAACACCGGUGGCGAAGGCGGCCAUCUGGACGGAUACUGACGCUGAGACGCGAAAGCGUGGGUAGCAAACAGG